GUUUGAUCCUGGCUCAGGAUGAACGCUAGCGACAGGCUUANCAUAUGCAAGUCGAGGGGCAGCGGGGAGUGAGGCUUGCCUUACUCUGCCGGCGACCGGCGCACGGGUGAGUAACACGUAUGCAACCUACCCUUUACAGCGGGAUAACCGGAAGAAAUUUCGCCUAAUACCGCAUAUACUCCUUGGGAGGCAUCUUCCGAGGGGGAAAGAAUUUCGGUGAAGGAUGGGCAUGCGUCGCCUUAGUUAGUUGGCGGUGUAACGGACCACCAAGACGACGAUGCGUAGGGGUUCUGAGAGGAAGGUCCCCCACACUGGUACUGAGACACGGACCAGACUCCUACGGGAGGCAGCAGUGAGGAAUAUUGGUCAAUGGCCGAGAGGCUGAACCAGCCAAGUCGCGUGAGGGAAGAAUGUCCUAUGGAUUGUAAACCUCUUUUGUCAGGGAGCAAAGUCACCCACGUGUGGGUGUUGGAGAGUACCUGAAGAAAAAGCAUCGGCUAACUCCGUGCCAGCAGCCGCGGUAAUACGGAGGAUGCGAGCGUUAUCCGGAUUUAUUGGGUUUAAAGGGUGCGUAGGNCGGGUUUAUCAAGUUCAGCGGUAAAAUUCGUGGAGCUCAACUCCAUCCAGCCGUUGAAACUGAUGAUCUUGAGUGGGCGAGAAGUAUGCGGAAUGCGUGGUGUAGCGGUGAAAUGCAUAGAUAUCACGCAGAACUCCGAUUGCGAAGGCAGCAUACCGGCGCCCGACUGACGCUGAAGCACGAAAGCGUGGGUAUCGAACAGGAUUAGAUACCCUGGUAGUCCACGCAGUAAACGAUGAAUACUAAUUGUGUGCUCCGAAUGAGGAGUGCGUGAUACAGCGAAAGCGUUAAGUAUUCCACCUGGGGAGUACGCCGGCAACGGUGAAACUCAAAGGAAUUGACGGGGGCCCGCACAAGCGGAGGAACAUGUGGUUUAAUUCGAUGAUACGCGAGGNAACCUUACCCGGGCUCAAACGCAGGAGGGAUGUUUUUGAAAGGAGGCAGCUCUACGGAGUCUCCUGCGAGGUGCUGCAUGGUUGUCGUCAGCUCGUGCCGUGAGGUGUCGGCUUAAGUGCCAUAACGAGCGCAACCCCUACCGCCAGUUGUCAACGGGUAAAGCCGGGAACUCUGGCGGGACUGCCGGCGCAAGCUGUGAGGAAGGCGGGGAUGACGUCAAAUCAGCACGGCCCUUACGUCCGGGGCGACACACGUGUUACAAUGGCAGGUACAGCGGGAAGCCACUUGGCGACAAGGCGCGGAACCCGAAAACCUGUCUCAGUUCGGAUUGGAGUCUGCAACCCGACUCCAUGAAGCUGGAUUCGCUAGUAAUCGCGCAUCAGCCACGGCGCGGUGAAUACGUUCCCGGGCCUUGUACACACCGCCCGUCAAGCCAUGGAAGCCGGGGGUGCCUGAAGUGCGUGACCGCAAGGAGCUUNAAAGGAGGUAAAANCCGGUGACUGGGGCUAAGUCGUAANCAAGGUAGC
Molecule: ribosomal RNA, 1500 nt
Filed under: uncultured bacterium
Lineage: Bacteria
Description: bacterial SSU rRNA
Rfam family: Bacterial small subunit ribosomal RNA
Source: RNAcentral